UUAUGCGAAAUACCUGGUGUGAAUUGCAGAAUCCCGUGAACCAUCGAGUCUUUGAACGCAAGUUGCGCCCGAAGCCAUUAGGCCGAGGGCACGCCUGCCUGGGUGUCACACAUCGUUUCCCCAACGCAAACAUGUAACAAUGUUGCUGCGCGGGGUGUAUGCUGACCUCCCGCGAGCACCCGCCUCGUGGUUGGUUGAAAUCUGGGUUCAUGGCCGACUUCGCCGUGAUAAAAUGGUGGAUGAGCCACGCUCGAGACCAAUCACGUGCGAGCCGGUCAGUUCUGGACCCAUCGACGACCCUUUGCGUGCACGCACGCUCCCAACGAGACCUCAGGUCAGGCGGGGCUACCCGCUGAGUUUAAGCAUAUCAAUAAGCGGAGGAAAAGAAACUAACAAGGAUUCCCUUAGUAACGGCGAGCGAACCGGGAAAAGCCCACCAUGAAAAUCGGUCGCCCUCGGCGUCCGAAUUGUAGUCGGAGAAAGCGUCAA
RNAcentral lists this ribosomal RNA (489 nucleotides) under Glycine max (soybean). RNAcentral's name for it is "eukaryotic LSU rRNA". The stretch from base 326 to 489 matches the Rfam family "Eukaryotic large subunit ribosomal RNA", at positions 1 to 164 of the family's 3401-position model. Lineage: Eukaryota; Viridiplantae; Streptophyta; Magnoliopsida; Fabales; Fabaceae. The record is from RNAcentral.